UACGUAGGGUGCAAGCGUUGUCCGGAAUUAUUGGGCGUAAAGAGCUCGUAGGCGGUUUGUCGCGUCUGCUGUGAAAUCUGGGGGCUCAACCCCCAGCCUGCAGUGGGUACGGGCAGACUAGAGUGCGGUAGGGGAGAUUGGAAUUCCUGGUGUAGCGGUGGAAUGCGCAGAUAUCAGGAGGAACACCGAUGGCGAAGGCAGAUCUCUGGGCCGUAACUGACGCUGAUGCACGAAAGCUGGGGGAGCAAACAGG
RNAcentral lists this ribosomal RNA (253 nucleotides) under uncultured bacterium. RNAcentral describes it as "partial 16S ribosomal RNA". It matches the Rfam family "Bacterial small subunit ribosomal RNA", at positions 524 to 776 of the family's 1533-position model. The record is from RNAcentral.